Molecule: ribosomal RNA, 476 nt
Filed under: Prevotella sp. oral taxon 289
Lineage: Bacteria; Pseudomonadati; Bacteroidota; Bacteroidia; Bacteroidales; Prevotellaceae
Description: bacterial SSU rRNA
Rfam family: Bacterial small subunit ribosomal RNA
Source: RNAcentral
GAUGAACGCUAGCUACAGGCUUAACACAUGCAAGUGAGGGGAAACGAUGAGAGACUUGCUCUCUUAGGUGUCGACCGGCGCACGGGUGAGUAACGGUACCAACCUGCCUCUGACCCAAGGGAUAACCCGUCGAAAGUCGGACUAAUACCUAUGUAGUCGUCGGAAGUCAUCUGAUGACGACGAAAGAUUUCAUCGGUGAGGGAUGGGGAUGCGUCUGAUUAGCUUGUUGGCGGGGUAACGGCCCACCAAGGCUACGAUCAGUAGGGGUUCUGGAGGAAGGUCCCCCACAUUGGAACUGAGACACGGCCAAACUCCUACGGGAGGCAGCAGUGAGGAAUAUUGGUCAAUGGGCGGAGCCUGAACCAGCCAAGUAGCGUGCAGGAUGACGGCCCUAUGGGUGUAAACUGCUUUAUGCGGGGAUAAAGUGAGGGACGUGUCCUUCAUUGCAGGUACCGCAUGAAUAAGACCGCUAUUCC